Molecule: ribosomal RNA, 253 nt
Filed under: uncultured bacterium
Lineage: Bacteria
Description: partial 16S ribosomal RNA
Rfam family: Bacterial small subunit ribosomal RNA
Source: RNAcentral
UACAGAGGCCUCAAGCGUUGUUCGGAUUCAUUGGGCGUAAAGGGUGCGUAGGUGGCUUGGUAAGUUGAAGGUGAAAUCUCGGGGCUUAACUCCGAAACUGCCUUCAAUACUGCUGAGCUCGAGGAUUGUAGAGGAGAAUGGAAUUCACGGUGUAGCAGUGAAAUGCGUAGAGAUGUGGAGGAACACCGAUGGCGAAGGCAGCCCCCUGGGCUAACACUGACGCUCAUGCACGAAAGCGUGGGGAGCAAACAGG